This 107-nucleotide small nuclear RNA is filed under the name Prolemur simus (greater bamboo lemur). Lineage: Eukaryota; Metazoa; Chordata; Mammalia; Primates; Lemuridae. The record is from RNAcentral.
GUGCUUGCUUCAGCAGCACGUAUACUAAAAUUAGAACAAUACAGAGAAGAUUAGCAUGGCCCCUGCAUAAGGAUGACAUACAAAUUCAUGAAACAUUCCAUAUUUAA